Molecule: ribosomal RNA, 548 nt
Filed under: uncultured Glomeraceae
Lineage: Eukaryota; Fungi; Glomeromycota; Glomeromycetes; Glomerales; Glomeraceae
Description: SSU rRNA
Rfam family: Eukaryotic small subunit ribosomal RNA
Source: RNAcentral
UUGGAGGGCAAGUCUGGUGCCAGCAGCCGCGGUAAUUCCAGCUCCAAUAGCGUAUAUUAAAGUUGCUGCAGUUAAAAAGCUCGUAGUUGAAUUUCGGGACCAUCAUGUCGGUCGUGCCUCGGUACGUACUGGUAUUGUUGGUUUCUCCCUUCUGAUGAACCAUGAUGUCAUUUAUUUGGUGUUGUGGGGAAUCAGGACUGUUACUUUGAAAAAAUUAGAGUGUUUAAAGCAGGCUCACGCUUGAAUACAUUAGCAUGGAAUAAUGAAAUAGGACGUUUGAUUCUAUUUUGUUGGUUUCUAGGAUCGACGUAAUGAUUAAUAGGGAUAGUUGGGGGCAUUAGUAUUCAAUUGUCAGAGGUGAAAUUCUUGGAUUUAUUGAAGACUAACUACUGCGAAAGCAUUUGCCAAGGAUGUUUUCAUUAAUCAAGAACGAAAGUUAGGGGAUCGAAGACGAUCAGAUACCGUCGUAGUCUUAACCAUAAACUAUGCCGACUAGGGAUCGGACGAUGUUAAUUUUUUAAUGACUCGUUCGGCGCCUUACGGGAAAC